GUCCACGCUGUAAACGAUGGGCACUAGGUGUCCGGGUAUUGACCCCUGGGUGCCGCAGCUAACGCAUUAAGUGCCCCGCCUGGGGAGUACGGUCGCAAGAUUAAACUACAAGGAAUUGACGGGGCCCGGCACAAGCGGUGGAGCAUGUGGUUCAAUUCGACGCAACGCGAAGAACCUUACCUGGGCUAGACAACAGCGGACCGUCCUAGAAAUAGGAUUUUCCCUUCGGGGACGCUGGUUCAGGUGCUGCAUGGCUGUCGU
RNAcentral lists this ribosomal RNA (261 nucleotides) under uncultured bacterium. RNAcentral describes it as "partial 16S ribosomal RNA". It matches the Rfam family "Bacterial small subunit ribosomal RNA", at positions 793 to 1055 of the family's 1533-position model. The record is from RNAcentral.